Molecule: long non-coding RNA, 1462 nt
Organism: Micropterus dolomieu (smallmouth bass)
Lineage: Eukaryota; Metazoa; Chordata; Actinopteri; Centrarchiformes; Centrarchidae
Exons: 2
Source: RefSeq, a predicted model, not a curated record
CCCAAAGCACACUGCCAACAAAACAAAGGACUUCAUCGGGGGGAAAAAGUGGAAGGUUUUAGACUGGCCAAGUCAAUCACCUGACCUUAACCCAACAGAUCAUGCAUUUCACCUCCUUGUGGGCAGUGUUCCAGUGGUCCGGCCACUAGUGUAAUGCUCUAUAGAGUUCACAUUAUGGUGAACACGGCCACGACUGGUCCUCUUCCGAAAGAUCCUAAAAGACGUAACACUGGUUAGAAAAGACUGAUAGGUGUGAAGCUUUAUAGUGCAUUAACCCCACAGCACAUGCACAUAUAGUCCAAAACACGUGCACACAAACACUACAGCAACUUACCUGUGCACAACCUCCCUGUAGCAAACAGAUGGAGUUCCCUCCUCUGUAUAAUACCCUCUGUCCUGCAGGCGGAAACUUCUUCUCAGCAUGACACAGCCACACACUCUUUACUACUUUCACUAUGAACAAUAAAACUGACAUUAAUGGCAGCUGGAAAAUUGCCAAGAGUAAGCGUUGUAAUAUAAUUUAUUUGUAAUUUAUUAAAUGUACACAUGGGGGCGUUGGUGCCUCAGUUGGUAGAGUGUGCACCCUAUGUACUGGGCUGAGCCAUUGCUGCAGCGGCCACUCUGUGGCCCUUUGCUGGGUGUAUCCUCUUUCUCUCUAUCUUCCCUGUUUCCAGAUGCUAUCCUACUCUCAAAUAAAAGCCCAACAAAUAGACAGCUAGAAGGUACACGACACUAUCAUAAUAAAUUGAAUUAAAACAAUGUUGUGACACAAAGCAUUAAUAUUGACAUGUCAGCUGACUGGUACUCCCUGAUCUUUACAGUGUUUAUUGCUCUGUUCAUGAUAGGCAUCAGUAUCCAUACUUAAUACCCAGAGAGUGAUUGAGAGGGAGCAAAAUCAAGGCUUAAAGCAGUUAACUCUCAAGUUUGAUUAAAUGUGCACACGUUUAUGUCAAGUGUGAAGUCUGCAGCUCUGCUGGUAACUUGCCGCUUAUUUCUACUGUACAAGAAAUGAAUCCCUGAUUAAGAAUUAUUCAGAAUCAAAUGAAGUUUUUUUUUUCUUAAUCAGAGGAAACAAUCAUAUCACAUCUGAAAGGUGCAAAGAGGCUGAAAUCUGCAGCUCUGAUGUCUGAUUGUUCAGCUGUGAUGAACAAUUCUAUUAGCGUCAUGAUGAUUCUAUUGUGAGGUCGUGGAACAUUCUGUAUGAUUCUAUAGUGAGGUCGUGGAACAUUCUGUAUGAUUCUAUAGUGAGGUCGUGGAACAUUCUGUAUGUAAAUUAGUUUUAAAUAACUAAUUGAACUGAUUUCUUACUCUUGAUUUAAAUAAACUUGUGAUUUAUUUGCUCAGACACAUUGUCAAUAAAGUUUUAAUCACUUGUGUUAUGGUGAAGUCAGGUACUAUACAUCAACUUUAACGCUCAAGCCAAACAUAAAGAAAACCAUUAAAAUAACAUUUGUUGAAAUAA